Molecule: ribosomal RNA, 383 nt
Filed under: Theileria uilenbergi
Lineage: Eukaryota; Apicomplexa; Aconoidasida; Piroplasmida; Theileriidae
Description: SSU rRNA
Rfam family: Eukaryotic small subunit ribosomal RNA
Source: RNAcentral
CAGGGAGGUAGUGACAAGAAAUAACAAUACGGGGCUUAACGUCUUGUAAUUGGAAUGAUGGGAAUCUAAACCUCUUCCAGAGUAUCAAUUGGAGGGCAAGUCUGGUGCCAGCAGCCGCGGUAAUUCCAGCUCCAAUAGCGUAUAUUAAAAUUGUUCAGUUAAAAAGCUCGUAGUUGAAUUUCUGCCGCCCCGCCUCUGCCCCUCGACGGGCGUUUGCGCCGCGGCUUUUUCGGAUUAUGCUUGCAUUUUCCGAGUGUUACUUUGAGAAAAUUAGAGUGCUCAAAGCAGGCUUUUGCCUUGAAUAGUUUAGCAUGGAAUAAUAAAGUAGGACUUUGGUUCUAUUUUGUUGGUUUUAGGUACCAAAGUAAUGGUUAAUAGGAACA